AAGAAAUAAUAUCCUGAGCGUUUGUUGUUAAAACUACCAUACGCAUCCAAGACUUCAUUCACUCGUAUUACAGUUUCAAGGUAUUUUAUUAAAGUAAGGACAUAAUACCCAAUCCGCAUACUCGUUAAGCCGCAAUUCACAAUCGGAGAGCUGAUUUUCCACAAUUUCAAAGACUGUGGUAUUGUUUCUCACAUCCACAAUGUAAAAACUCCUGAUAAGGUGAAGAGGCCUCACAAAUAGUUGUCCAAAAGGGUUUCCAUGGAUCAUAUUUGUUCCUUCGCCAUUCAUACGCGUCUGGACUAGUUAGCAUAGGAACCUUUUCCAAGCGUGUUACUCAUUCACACCCGCCAUGGUAUAGUGCACGCUUUACAUGCUGAAAAAUACUAGACCGAGUCGUGGGAAUAGCCUCAAUAAGUCUUUCCUCUACCGAAAACACACGUUUUCUUGCUUUGUUAACCCCAUCUGAUAAGUUUUUUUCGAUCUUACAACAAAACCACGUAUCGUUUUCAAUGACAUUAAAUUUAUCAAAUCCAAAUCUGAUGAUAUUGGCUGAUCAAUCAUUAUUCUAAAUGCUAAAGUCACAUCUUCAAACGCCAUUAAUCUCACUAACGCUGUUCCCUUUCCAGCAAACGUGUUAUCUUUUAAUGCCUAGUUCAUUUGAAAGGUCAUGGGUAGAUAUAUAUCUUAAGCUUUUUCCACUUCCAAAUGCAAACCAAAGUUUAUCUGCCCGUUUGUCACGGAAUAGCGAAUCAGCAAUGACAUCAGUAUCG
This 770-nucleotide long non-coding RNA is filed under the name Mytilus galloprovincialis (Mediterranean mussel). The record is from RNAcentral. Lineage: Eukaryota; Metazoa; Mollusca; Bivalvia; Mytilida; Mytilidae.